UACGUAGGGUGCGAGCGUUGUCCGGAAUUAUUGGGCGUAAAGAGCUUGUAGGCGGUUUGUCGCGUCUGCUGUGAAAAUCCGGGACUCAAUUCCGGACUUGCAGUGGGUACGGGCAGACUAGAGUACGGUAGGGGAGACUGGAAUUCCUGGUGUAGCGGUGAAAUGCGCAGAUAUCAGGAGGAACACCGAUGGCGAAGGCAGGUCUCUGGGCCGUAACUGACGCUGAGAAGCGAAAGCAUGGGGAGCGAACAGG
RNAcentral lists this ribosomal RNA (253 nucleotides) under uncultured bacterium. Its description in RNAcentral is "partial 16S ribosomal RNA". It matches the Rfam family "Bacterial small subunit ribosomal RNA", at positions 524 to 776 of the family's 1533-position model. The record is from RNAcentral.